GCCAGUGUGGCUCAGUGGUUAGAGCGUCGAGCUGGGAACCGGGAGGUCCCGGGUUCGAUUCCCG
This 64-nucleotide transfer RNA is filed under the name Myotis davidii. It matches the Rfam family "tRNA", at positions 1 to 62 of the family's 71-position model. Rfam says of the family: Transfer RNA (tRNA) molecules are approximately 80 nucleotides in length. The record is from Rfam by way of RNAcentral. Lineage: Eukaryota; Metazoa; Chordata; Mammalia; Chiroptera; Vespertilionidae.